Molecule: ribosomal RNA, 190 nt
Filed under: uncultured Bacteroidota bacterium
Lineage: Bacteria; Pseudomonadati; Bacteroidota
Description: uncultured Bacteroidetes bacterium partial 16S ribosomal RNA
Rfam family: Bacterial small subunit ribosomal RNA
Source: RNAcentral
UACGGGAGGCAGCAGUAGGGAAUAUUGGGCAAUGGACGCAAGUCUGACCCAGCCAUGCCGCGUGCAGGAUGAAGGCGUUAUGCGUUGUAAACUGCUUUUAUACAGGAAGAAACGACUCUUGCGAGAGGCAUUGACGGUACUGUAUGAAUAAGCACCGGCUAACUCCGUGCCAGCAGCCGCGGUAAUAGUA